Molecule: ribosomal RNA, 253 nt
Filed under: uncultured bacterium
Lineage: Bacteria
Description: partial 16S ribosomal RNA
Rfam family: Bacterial small subunit ribosomal RNA
Source: RNAcentral
UACGUAGGGUGCGAGCGUUAAUCGGAAUUACUGGGCGUAAAGCGUGCGCAGGCGGUUCGUUGUGUCGGCGGUGAAAGCCCCGGGCUUAACCUGGGAAUGGCCGUUGAAAUUGGCGAACUGGAGUGUGGCAGAGGGGGGUGGAAUUCCGCGUGUAGCAGUGAAAUGCGUAGAGAUGCGGAGGAACACCGAUGGCGAAGGCAGCCCCCUGGGCUAACACUGACGCUCAGGCACGAAAGCGUGGGGAGCAAACAGG